Molecule: long non-coding RNA, 110 nt
Organism: Sinocyclocheilus grahami
Lineage: Eukaryota; Metazoa; Chordata; Actinopteri; Cypriniformes; Cyprinidae
Exons: 3
Source: RefSeq, a predicted model, not a curated record
AAUGUGUUUUUGAUUAGGUUUGUAACCAAUGUUCCCUUUAAUUUUGUUUCUUCCUGAGCAAAACUUUUCUAUGUUGGGCGGACAUUUCGUCCACCUGAGAAAAACAUUUU